GCCCCGGUAAACGGCGGCCGUAACUAUAACGGUCCUAAGGUAGCGAAAUUCCUUGUCGGGUAAGUUCCGACCUGCACGAAUGGCGUAAUGAUGGCCAGGCUGUCUCCACCCGAGACUCAGUGAAAUUGAACUCGCUGUGAAGAUGCAGUGUACCCGCGGCAAGACGGAAAGACCCCGUGAACCUUUACUAUAGCUUGACACUGAACACUGGUCCUUGAUGUGUAGGAUAGGUGGGAGGCUUUGAAGCGUGGACGCCAGUCUGCGUGGAGCCGACCUUGAAAUACCACCCUUUAAUGGCUGGUGUUCUAACGUAGACCCGUAAUCCGGGUUGCGGACAGUGUCUGGUGGGUAGUUUGACUGGGGCGGUCUCCUCCCAAAGAGUAACGGAGGAGCACGAAGGUUAGCUAAUCCUGGUCGGACAUCAGGAGGUUAGUGCAAUGGCAUAAGCUAGCUUGACUGCGAGAGUGACGGCUCGAGCAGGUGCGAAAGCAGGUCAUAGUGAUCCGGUGGUUCUGAAUGGAAGGGCCAUCGCUCAACGGAUAAAAGGUACUCCGGGGAUAACAGGCUGAUACCGCCCAAGAGUUCAUAUCGACGGCGGUGUUUGGCACCUCGAUGUCGGCUCAUCACAUCCUGGGGCUGAAGUAGGUCCCAAGGGUAUGGCUGUUCGCCAUUUAAAGUGGUACGCGAGCUGGGUUUAGAACGUCGUGAGACAGUUCGGUCCCUAUCUGCCGUGGGCGCUGGAGAAUUGAGGGGGGCUGCUCCUAGUACGAGAGGACCGGAGUGGACGCAUCACUGGUGUUCGGGUUGUCAUGCCAAUGGCACUGCCCGGUAGCUAAAUGCGGAAGAGAUAAGUGCUGAAAGCAUCUAAGCACGAAACUUGCCCCG
Molecule: ribosomal RNA, 885 nt
Filed under: Enterobacter kobei
Lineage: Bacteria; Pseudomonadati; Pseudomonadota; Gammaproteobacteria; Enterobacterales; Enterobacteriaceae
Description: partial 23S ribosomal RNA
Rfam family: Bacterial large subunit ribosomal RNA
Source: RNAcentral